RNAcentral lists this ribosomal RNA (332 nucleotides) under uncultured bacterium. RNAcentral's name for it is "bacterial SSU rRNA". It matches the Rfam family "Bacterial small subunit ribosomal RNA", at positions 568 to 898 of the family's 1533-position model. The record is from RNAcentral.
CGUGUAGGCGGAGCGGUAAGUACUUUGUGAAAGCCCCGGCUUCAAUCCGGGAACUGCUAGGUAUACUGUCGCUCUUGAGGCAGGUAGGGGUCACUGGAACCUUAGGUGGAGCGGUGAAAUGCGUAGAUAUCUAAGGGAACGCCUGUGGCGAAAGCGGGUGACUGGGCCUGACCUGACGCUGAGACGCGAAAGCGUAGGGAGCAAACGGGAUUAGAUACCCCGGUAGUCUACGCCGUAAACGAUGCGCACUAGGUUCGAGUGCCACUGACGGUUCUCGUGCCGAAACAAAAGCGUUAAGUGCGCCGCCUGGGGAGUACGGCCGCAAGGCUAAA